This 299-nucleotide unclassified non-coding RNA is filed under the name Hevea brasiliensis (rubber tree). Lineage: Eukaryota; Viridiplantae; Streptophyta; Magnoliopsida; Malpighiales; Euphorbiaceae. The record is from RNAcentral.
AAUUAGGAGAACUAAAUAAUGAUUUAAAACAGUAUAAUAUGAACAACCACUAUGUACUCCACUUCAAUUUUAGUUACUAUUUCUUCAACAACCCAAACAGCAUUAAAACAAGAGAAAUCAAAUCAUUAGAUUGAUUAAAGAACAAAAGAACGGUACUAAAAAAUUCUUAGAUGCAUUGCUUCAAAACUUGUUCAAAUUUUUUUCUUCUUGAGAAACAAAAUCAAACAUGCAAAAACAAAACAAGAAGACAAACAAUCCCAAUAAAAGAACACUCACAAGAUUACUACUUUUCCAUCAGA